GCUCAACUUUUUAAUUCAAUAAUUUUGAGAAGUUGAAAAUUUACUUUGAUCUGGGUCAUUAAGGGGUGAAUAAGGGGUCCUGAACCAGUGUUAUGCAUUUGUUAGCUCACCCAUCUGCAUGUGUAAAUAUAUAUAUAUGUGCGUGUCUGUAUAAUAUGUUAUAAACAUAGACUGAUGCUGACUUCAUGCUAUCUGCUUAUUUUUAAAUUAUCCAGCAGUUGGAGAGGUGAAACAUUCAGUUGAAAUCAAGGGUAAUGUACUGACUGAACAAGGUGGAGCUGAACACUCAGAGAAGACUGAUGGCAACAUAAGAAGUGAGGCUGAAAUCAAGGUUUCAUCUGAAACUGAGAAAAAAGAAAAGAACAAUAG
Mugil cephalus (flathead mullet) is the source of this 369-nucleotide long non-coding RNA. RefSeq lists it as uncharacterized. NCBI's taxonomy places the organism in Eukaryota, Metazoa, Chordata, Actinopteri, Mugiliformes, Mugilidae. The record is from RefSeq and is a predicted model, not a curated record. The transcript is spliced from 4 exons.